GAGUAGAAAACCUAGUGGGUUAGGGUUCUUGUAUUUGUUCAUAAACGCAAAGCGAUAGAUCUGAUUUCGAUGGGGGAUGAUAGCGAUAGAUCUGAUUCGAUGGGGGAUGAUAGCGAUAGAUCUGAUUCGAUGGGGGAUGAUAGCGAUAGAUCUGACUCGAUGGGGGAUGAUGUUGUGUAUGAUUCAGAAGGUACGAAGCCAACUCUGUAAAUUUAUUUAAGGAUCUAUAGAGAUAUAUAUAUAAAUCCCUAAGUUUGGAGAAUUUGCGGUCUCAGAUUGGAGAACUACGCUAGAACCUGUGGAUCUGGAAUACACGGAGGAGGAUGAUGUUGAUGGGACAAGGUAUUAUCCUAGUAUAAGACGCCGUGAAGAUGAAGAGAAGAUCUCGCCGGAGGAUGAGUAUCUCCUCAUGGAGAAGCAAGU
This 423-nucleotide long non-coding RNA is filed under the name Arabidopsis lyrata. RNAcentral describes it as "long non-coding RNA (ALYR_LNC002125)". Lineage: Eukaryota; Viridiplantae; Streptophyta; Magnoliopsida; Brassicales; Brassicaceae. The record is from RNAcentral.